RNAcentral lists this ribosomal RNA (402 nucleotides) under uncultured bacterium. RNAcentral describes it as "bacterial SSU rRNA". It matches the Rfam family "Bacterial small subunit ribosomal RNA", at positions 355 to 774 of the family's 1533-position model. The record is from RNAcentral.
UGGGGAAUCUUAGACAAUGGGGGAAACCCUGAUCUAGCCAUGCCGCGUGAGUGAUGAAGGCCCUAGGGUCGUAAAGCUCUUUCGCUGGGGAAGAUAAUGACGGUACCCAGUAAAGAAACCCCGGCUAACUCCGUGCCAGCAGCCGCGGUAAUACGGAGGGGGUUAGCGUUGUUCGGAAUUACUGGGCGUAAAGCGCGCGUAGGCGGAUUGUUAAGUCGGGGGUGAAAUCCCGGGGCUCAACCCCGGAACUGCCUCCGAUACUGGCAGUCUUGAGUUCGAGAGAGGUGAGUGGAAUUCCGAGUGUAGAGGUGAAAUUCGUAGAUAUUCGGAGGAACACCAGUGGCGAAGGCGGCUCACUGGCUCGAUACUGACGCUGAGGUGCGAAAGCGUGGGGAGCAAACA